AUGGAAAAUCGAAGGAUGUCAACUUUAGUUGACAAGCAUGACAACUUCAUGCUUAAGUAUAUUUUUGACAGAAGCUUGCCUUCUGUCGCCGGAAUUUGUCAACCUUGCGUGAUUGAAAUUGCCACCGAAAGACGUCAGGGCCCGAGUGCUAUGCACCUGACGUGUGGCACUUGCCAUUUGGGAAAACUUACCGUGAGCUCUACAAAGCACCUGAAUUGUAGCCAGAGUAGGGUUGGCAAAGAGGACUGCGGUGUUCACCUCAAGAGUCAAGACUUCUUACAGUUUGGCCUAUUUUCAGACUCGACGAGUCCCACUCCGGUACAGUUGAAGCGCUGCUGA
RNAcentral lists this ribosomal RNA (339 nucleotides) under Triticum aestivum (bread wheat). RNAcentral's name for it is "partial small subunit ribosomal RNA". The record is from RNAcentral. Lineage: Eukaryota; Viridiplantae; Streptophyta; Magnoliopsida; Poales; Poaceae.